Molecule: non-coding RNA, 171 nt
Organism: Meleagris gallopavo (turkey)
Lineage: Eukaryota; Metazoa; Chordata; Aves; Galliformes; Phasianidae
Source: RefSeq, a predicted model, not a curated record
CAGAAACCACCACCUGACGUCCUUGAAAUUCCUGGUCCUAUCUUGUCCGGCAGAGCAGAGGAGAAUCCCCUGCGUGCGAGACGUGCAGUCCUGGAUCUGCAUGUCUAGGGACAAGGAUUCUCCUCCCCACUGAUGCCCUUUGACAUCCUCUGAUGAGCAGCGCUGCCCUCU